Molecule: long non-coding RNA, 727 nt
Filed under: Homo sapiens (human)
Lineage: Eukaryota; Metazoa; Chordata; Mammalia; Primates; Hominidae
Description: long intergenic non-protein coding RNA 1919
Source: RNAcentral
AGAGGUUUGAAUCAUGGCUUGAUACGAAAUUAUUGGAAAGAAUAUGGCGAUGACAUCCACAAUGCCGGAAUUAUUUGACCUACUUCUUCUAUCAUGCGCUGAGGAUAAAGAAAAUAUUUAGAAGAUGAGAUUCCUGUGUUUCUGGCUUUCAUUUUACUGGUCAUUCCUGCCAUGAGAAGAUGAUAGAGAAUAUCACCACAGUGUGACUUGCUUCCAAGGCAGCAUGGUUUCAUGCAGAGGAUCUAAACUGGGGACCAUGUGCUGGGCUGCAAAAGGGCUGUGCAGUGCCUAAAAUGUUAUGCAAAAUUUUAUAAAGGUAGGUCAUGUAUUGCUCCAUUGAUGCUGCCCUUAUUCAUGAUGAUUAAAGCCUUUGGGAGGUAUUCCUUCAGAAUAAUUUGGUGUUGUUUUCUUCAGUCAAGAGGUCCACAGAGCUGUCUUUCAUUCUGUAGGUUUAUCAGCAACUGAUGCUUAAAACCUAUUAGGCACUGCAAAAAAAGAGUGCACACCUUCUACUUAUUAAAAAAAAAAACAAACUGUAAAACAGCAUCAUGCAGGUUCUUCAGGAGAGAUUCCAGAGGAAGGCAUUGUUGUGGUAGAAGAUGACAGUUCCACAGGUGUUACUAGCCAUGAAGAUCUUCCAGUGAGACAAGAUGUGGAGGUGGAAGACAGUGAUAUUGAUGAUUCUGAUCCUGUUGUUAUAAAUAAAGUUUCGGUUCCACAAAAGAAA